Molecule: long non-coding RNA, 1300 nt
Filed under: Oryctolagus cuniculus (rabbit)
Lineage: Eukaryota; Metazoa; Chordata; Mammalia; Lagomorpha; Leporidae
Description: lncRNA (ENSOCUG00000032578.1)
Source: RNAcentral
GAAUCUACAGGUGAAGACGGUAGCCUAUGAACAAGCAAUAAUUAUGAGAGGACUAUAAUGGAGGUAGGCGGUACUCUUUCAGGAAAGCAGAUGCUUUAUCAAAGCUAAAACUUUGUCCUGGACAUGAAAUCUGUGAACAUAAGUUUAUGUGAUGAUCCAUGUAGCAGAGAAUACUACAAAAGCCAAGUGAGGAAUGCAUACAAGCUCUGCACACUGAAGGCUCAGUGAAGAAAAGUUAGGGGCCAGUUCUUUCACUCGCCAGUUCCAAGUAGUGAGAAGAUAGAAAGGGGAAAGCAGUGGCAAUGUCCCUCAGUUUCUCUGGGGAGACAUCAAUUCUUUCUACCUUUGGAGUUUUGGGCACCUGACCAGCCACCACUACAGUCGCCUGCUCCACCACAGGAUAACCCGGGACUUGGGGCAGUAAGAAACUGAGGAAUAAAUACAGAAUUUCCUCCUCCUCUCUCUUCCUGUCUCUCUGACCCCUAGGAUCUCCUUUGUUCUUCACAUGAAAAUGAAAGGGCAUCUCUUGGGCUUUUUGCUGUCUGCACCUGAUUUCCAGGUUCCCGCCUGUCUUUGGUCUAAACAAGCAAGAAAAAUCAGGGAGAAAAUGAUCUGGCAGUACUUAAAGUGUGAGUUUCUUUCCUCAACCUGCCUAUGUCUGUGUUGUUUUCAGAAUUCCUAGAGAACUACUCGAUGCUUUCCACCCAGGGUUUUUCUGAGUUCCUUGAAAGAUGCAAGGUGGAUUUUGUGUGCCACAUCAUGACUGGACAUCCAGGAAAGGACAGGCCGUCUUCAUUUUGAUUAUCUGCUGUAAUCUACAUCAUUUUAGCAGAUACCAACCAAUGCAGAGCAGCUGUGCACAGGAGCAGCCCCACUCUAACACAAUGAAAACCAGAGACUCUAGAAUAAGGCCUGGAUUCUGGCCACCAAAGGUAAAGUACAUGACUUCUUUGGAUUAUGGGACUCUUUACCCAGGCUCCAUCUUUCUUCUGUCAUUGCUCAUGUGAGGCAUCUCGUGUGUGUGAGUGUAUGUAUAGUAUCUAAUAUGAUGCAUGAAGGGAAUACUCAUUCACAUUCCCUUUUAUUGAGACCAUAAAACAUCACUGCCUAGAAAACCAUGCUUCUGUUGAUUGUUUUAUUUCUAAAGCUAAUAUUGCAAAGAACUUCUGCUACUAAUGAGAAAAGAUAUGCAUAAAAACUGUUGUUUUGAAAACAAAAGUACAGGUCCUGUUUUAUUUAUUGUUGCAAUCAACUCCUCACCACCUCCAUCCCUCAAUAAAAAACAUACUUUUAGUCUUCA